Dromaius novaehollandiae (emu) is the source of this 2909-nucleotide long non-coding RNA. RefSeq lists it as uncharacterized. The record is from RefSeq and is a predicted model, not a curated record. The transcript is spliced from 4 exons. Lineage: Eukaryota; Metazoa; Chordata; Aves; Casuariiformes; Dromaiidae.
CUGCUGAUCAAAGCAAUGUUGUUAGUAUGUUUAAACUUCUUUUGAGUUAACAACCUAUCUACUGUAUGCGACAGAUGAUAAGUUAAAAAUACUUCAAGUAUGUCAUUUUUUCUUUCAACUUUAGAGUCCUUGAGCAUUUUUUCAUCUAGUAGCUUUGUUGUAAGACUUUUCCUUUGAAUUCCUCUAGCUGACAAAAGCUUCUGUAGUAUAACAUGCCAGAAGCUCUUGCUAUUAAUCCCACUAUAGCACUUUAAUUGUAAACCAGAUACGAUAGCUCAUUUUCAGUGAGCAGGGAUACAGGUAGUGUCAGUAACGUAUCUGAGAUGCAUUAUGGUGUGAACUCUCAGACACCACUACAGGGUAACAUGGGCAGAACAAAAAUUAACACUAGUGUACUAAGAACGCAGGUACUAGCGCCAAACCACCCUUGUUCCCCUCAUUUUAGGAUUCCGGAAUGGGCAAACAUCGCCCAGACCAGUCGUGGGGAAUAUGGCUUCCUCAGGCUUGGAAGGUCUUAGGUGAAAAGGCAGAUAGUCUCUGCUAUUCCCACUCACAACACCACAGUAUGUUGUGCCUCCCAGCAGUAUGUGAAGUGCCAGAUGUUACUGAUGUUUUUUCUCACUUCUUUUCUCUGUGUGGGGGAAUGCACCUAUUGGAUGGCUGUUAUUUAAUAGGUUGAAAAUAAAAACUCACUGGCAUGCUCUUAAAACGUAUAUAAACACAAUGCAUAACUUUAUGAGGAUGUUUAAGACAACAAAGUCAAAGAAAUCCAUCUUAGAGGUGGAGCAGGAAGUGGUAAAAUGCUAAGGCAGUGGAAGCGAAGGUCUUAGACCUUCGCAGAAGUCCCAAGGAAGGGUCUGACUUCCAUGCAGGUGAGUUUUGACCUAAGAACCUCCCGUUGCACUGGAAGAUGGAGCUCAGCAAGCUGGUUGGGGGUAGAUUUCUAAUUAGCAGAAACCAUGGAGUGUAUCAAUGGUAAAUCUGGAAAUACAGCAUUCAAAAUGGCAUUUUAGGGAAGGCAGCAGAGAGUAGCAGGAAAGUAUAGUUUAGCUUGCUGAGGGGAUUUGCAGUAAUCGGACAGAACCAUCGAGACCCAAGGAGAUGUCCUAAGCCCUGAUGACUGCCUGCUCAUGAACAUCACCCGGCUGCAGCUCACUAGGGAGAUGACGAGGGUGUGAAGGACUGACGGCAGGCCAUUGCCCACCAGAAGGGGACAACCUCUGAGCCAGCACUGACUGAAAACAGCUAGGACAAAAGCUGCAGUGUGAUGCAGCAAAGCACACGUAUGAAUGCUGCGAUGAAAAAUGAUGCAGUCUAGCAUCAGUAAGAAAGCCACUGGCACUAAUCCCAUCCUAGCUGAAUUAGUUCAUCAGUGAAGGCUGCACUAUGGCUGCAGAGGCUUCAGAAAGAGCCACACUGCCCAGUCUCACAGGAUCUGUCUCGUGCAGUUAGUCCUCAUCCAUGACCUGAUCCCACACAAAGACUGGAUCUUCCGGAUAAUGAGGAGCCAUGUGUACAGUAAAUGGCUUUGCCUCCGUUGCUAGCACUUCAGCCCAUGCCAUCUGGCCAGCUUGCCAUGGGACUUCACAGAGAAACUGAAAAGAGAUGGAGAAAGAAUUGAGCCCUUGGGUCUCCAUGGACUCACAGGAGAAAGAUGAGGCAAGGUGCAGUAGCAGCUCCUUCUAUCUGGAAUAGAUAAUCAAUAUAAUUCUUAGAGCAAGGAGAAGAACACACUUUCCAGUCCAACAGGAAUGAGAAAAUAAUGAACAGGAAAACCACAUCAAGCUAAAAAUGUUUUAUGCAUGCAGCGGCAUUCCAAGGAGAAGAUUACUUAAGGAUAAAAAUGUUAUCUGUGUCUCAAGACAUGGUCCAUCUUCCAAUGGAGACCCAAGAGAGCAAAAGAAAAAUGUCAGCAAACUAAGAACUGGCAAUGGACCAGGAAAAGAAGCUAAAAUGCUUCAUAAAAUAGCCUCAGUCAGCCACGGAGACCAAUUAGGCUAUGCUAUAACAAGGAUUACUGAACUGUAAUUAUUAUUUAUUCAAAUCAGUGGAAGAAUUACUGUGGCUUACGUUAAAGACAAUAGAAGCUAAUGGAGGGAGAAGCAGAAGAGACCAGCAGUGAUUUCGACAGCACGUUGUCAGCCACACAAGCAGUAUAAAAGCACCCAUCUAACUGACAGCCUGAAAUAGGGGCCUACUGAUAUUUGCUUGUGAGUCAUUCGUUUCAAGCAUAUUUUCAAACACAACCUCUCUUUAAAGAAAUAUCCUUGGAAAAAGUGUAUGUAUGAUACGUACACUGUAGAAUUAUUAAUUGGUGGAUGAAAGAAACUGGCAGGAAAAAAGCUAGAGACGUUAUUUGCCUACUAUAUUCACUAUAUUUAAAAUGUGGGGGGUUUUGCUCAUUCACUAAAGGACUCAAGACUGCCUGAAUGCUGAAAAUUCCCAUCUGCAUUUUUAACCCACCAAUUACUUGCAAGCCGCAAUCCUACAAUCCAAGAUAAUUUCAGUGGAAUUUUAAUUUCCCUGAAAGCUUACAACAUUGCCAAAACAAAACUGCGUCCAUCUGAACUGCCAGUCCGCCUAAGGGCCUGGUUGCCCGAAUCUCCUUCCUUCCUCACGCACUGCAACUGAGGGACUAUCACGGCUGGUGCAAUCUACAGGGCCAUCAGGGUGUAUCGCAGGCAUUUCCUCCCACCAAAAAGCUCGACCUAGAGAUAAGCUGGCUGCUGUAAAAUAAAGUAACAAAACAACAGCCAAGAUUGCCGUUAUUCUGAUCUAGAAUGAACCGCUUUAAUUCAGUUUAACCAAAAAGUUUUGCUGGUCAAUGCAAACAUAUUUCAUUUCCAGUUUUCCCAACUGGGAAAAAAAAACAGAUUUCUGCGGGAAUUGUUUUGGCUUUUGGUUGUCCU